CCUACGGUGUGCAGCAGUGAGGAAUAUUGGUCAAUGGGCGAGAGUCUGAACCCGCCAAGUCGCGUGAAGGAUGAAGGCUCUAUGGGUUGUAAACUUCUUUUAUAUGGGAAUAAAGUGAGUAACGUGUUCCUUUUUGUAUGUACCAUAUGAAUAAGCAUCGGCUAACUCCGUGCCAGCAGCCGCGGGAAUACGGAAGAUGCGGUCGUUAUCCGGAUUUCUUGGGUUUAAAGGGUGCGUAGGUGGUUAAUUAAGUCAGCGGUGAAAUUUUGUGGCUCAACCAUAGACUUGCAGUUGAAACUGGUUGACUUGAGUAUACUUGAGGUAGGCGGAAUGCGUGGUGUAGCGGUGAAAUGCAUAGAUAUCACGCAGAACUCCGAUUGCGAAGGCAGCUUACUAAACUAUAACUGACACUGAAGCACGAAAGCGUGGGGAUCAAACAGGAUUAGAUACCCUAGUAGUC
RNAcentral lists this ribosomal RNA (460 nucleotides) under uncultured bacterium. RNAcentral describes it as "partial 16S ribosomal RNA". It matches the Rfam family "Bacterial small subunit ribosomal RNA", at positions 338 to 795 of the family's 1533-position model. The record is from RNAcentral.